AACGAACGCUGGCGGCAUGCCUAACACAUGCCAGUCGAACGGAACCUUCGGGCUUAGUGGCGGACGGGUGCGUAACGCGUGGGAACUUGCCCUUUGGUUCGGAAUAACUCCCUGAAAGAUGUCCUAAUACCGGAUAAUCUCUUCGGGGCAAAGAUUUAUCGCGAUUGGAUGGGCCCGCGUUGGAUUAGCUAGUUGGUAGGGUAAUAGCCUACCAAGGCGACGAUCCUUAGCUGGUCUGUGAGGAGGACCAGCCACACUGGGACUGAGACACGGCCCAGACUCCGACGGGAGGGAGCAGUGGGGAAUAUUAGAGAAUGGGGGAAAGCCUGAUCCAGCAAUGCCGGGGGAGAGAUGAAGGCCUUAGGGUUGUAAAGCUGUUUGACCCGGGAAGAUAAUGACGGUACCGGGAGAAGAAGCUCCGGCUAACUCCGUG
Molecule: ribosomal RNA, 433 nt
Filed under: uncultured bacterium
Lineage: Bacteria
Description: partial 16S ribosomal RNA
Rfam family: Bacterial small subunit ribosomal RNA
Source: RNAcentral